Molecule: long non-coding RNA, 1596 nt
Organism: Pelodiscus sinensis (Chinese soft-shelled turtle)
Lineage: Eukaryota; Metazoa; Chordata; Testudines; Trionychidae
Source: RefSeq, a predicted model, not a curated record
CCCAUCCCCGCCGUGGCGGGAAGCCAGCCGCAGGGCUGGAGGGGCGGCUGGGUGCGGGGCCAGGCGGCAACGGGACCCACCCCUGCUCCGCUUUCCCCCUGCCGCGCUCACCCCAUCCCCCGGGAAGCCGGAGCCCAGCGCGCCGCAUUCGCCUUUUCCCCCCUGCAGGCGGCCGCGGGAAGCAGCGUGAUUCACCCGGGUCAGCCGCGGCUGCAGCUGCGGAAGGCCAAGCAGCCCCUGCUGUCCUGGGCUGGCGUGUGGAAGUACCUGCUGCCCCUGUGUUGGCGCUGAUUUCCCCAUCUCCAAGAAUCAUGUGAUUGCAUACAACGCUCAGCAUUUUUUUUAAAGAGAAAGAUUAUAGCCCUCAUGGUUACACAGAAAAACUUGAAAAUGAGAUCUCAGUGGCUCAAAAAUCAGAAGGCAACGCCCUUCCCUCUCCUCCCCAAAUUCAUAGUGAAUUAUUUUUCAAAAAUCUCAUAAUUCUUGGGGCCUGACUUACACUACUGAACACUUGCAGUUGGCAAUACUGGGAGCCACAUAUUUGGCCAAAGUUAUAAGGCCCUCUUCCAACCUCAUUUCUUGACAAGAAUUACUUUAAGGAGGACAGGAAAAUCCUGUGCUCUUCUCUGCUACCUGCAUUAGUGGAACCUAAACUGGCCGCCUUUGUUCCUUGAACAGAAACCAAUGCCCAUAAGCCUGUGCUCCAAAUUCCAAAAAUAUCCUUGGUUGGGAACAGAAGGUGAACUCAUGAGAAGAGGCUCUGAAAAUAGUGGCUAAUGCCAUCCUCUAUGUCCAACAGGAUACACUUGAAAAGGAAUGGCAAGGCCAGCUGGCUUAACAGGCUCCCACCUGUGGCAGGCAGGAUGUCUGAUGUGAUGACAUUAGACUUGGAAUAUUGCCCAGUUUGUGUUGCUAUUACAUAAUCUCUGGGCAACAGCUUACACUAAAUUUAGAGAGAGAGAAUAGUAGAUGAAUGAGCGAGAAGAUUCACCUCUCAUUUAAGUCCUGCUCCAAAGCCCACUGAAAUCAAAGCAAAGACUACCACUGACUUCAAUGGAUUUUGAAUCAGACUGCUACUUGAGUUCAACACCAUUUCAGUGGUACAGUUCUUAAUUAGUACUAGUGUAAACAAGAAUCUGGUCCAAUGUACUUUUGUUCCGCAUGUAACCAAUGUUAUAAAAAUAACAAGAUUUAUAACAGAAACAUUUAGCUAUCUUAACUCUACUGAUCCUCUAAGGCACUGUUAACAUACUGUAAAUGUUUUUGUGCUUGAAUUAAUAAGACAUUUCUGAACUUCUUCAGCAAAAUUUAUUUUAUAAACAAUUUUUUGUUACUAUAGUUGGACAAUCAGAGUUGAGUUUGAGGUCAAAGGUUGAAAUAAGAUCCUUUUGAUGGGUUAGUUGGUCUUUGCACUUUAUCAUACUUAGCUGGAGAAGGAAAGUUGAAAGCAUUUUGGACUGAGCCCAAAUCCUUGUAUUCUAGUGGCCAUGGCAAAGGCGGUGCAGAAUUACUUACACUGCAAAUGAAAAUCGCUCUCUCUCUUUUCCUAUUAGUUUCCUUGUCUGUUUAUAGAUACAGACUUGGCUUUGUAACACU